This 121-nucleotide ribosomal RNA is filed under the name Erinaceus europaeus (western European hedgehog). Lineage: Eukaryota; Metazoa; Chordata; Mammalia; Eulipotyphla; Erinaceidae. The record is from RNAcentral.
GUCUACGGCCAUACCACCCUGAACACACCCGAUCUCAUCUGAUCUUGGAAGAAGCUGUUGGCCGAUAUAAACAUUGAGAUAGUAUUAUUCUUGAAGGAAUAUAUUUGCUGCAUUAUAGACU